This is a non-coding RNA of Microcebus murinus (gray mouse lemur), 314 nucleotides long. NCBI's taxonomy places the organism in Eukaryota, Metazoa, Chordata, Mammalia, Primates, Cheirogaleidae. The record is from RefSeq and is a predicted model, not a curated record.
AGAAGGAAAAGAAGAAAAUUAAACCACUCUUAAUUCACCACCACCAUCCCUCCAUCAAGAUGGCCUUUGCUAACAUUUUGUACAAUGAGAUCAAAUCCAGAUCUUUUGCUGUAAGGAUGGGCCUGAAGCCGGGAGGAGGGGACCCUGGGCACGCCAGGAUCGCCGUGUGCCGAGGCAAUGAGAGCAGGACAGCACUGUCACCGUCUGAAUCACCCCGAGCACAGCCCGUCCUUGCGCCUUUCAGCUCCGUGGCAGCAGGCGAACCGCUCUACGCUACCGGUGUUGACCGAGGAGCUCCAAUUUAAUGGUGAGCA